AACCCCUAUUCGUUAGUUGCCAUCAUUCAGUUGGGCACUCUAGCGAGACUGCCGGUAAUAAACCGGAGGAAGUGGGGAUGACGGUCAAAUCAUCAUGCCCCUUAUGACCUGGGCGUACACACGUGCUACAAUGGUUGGUACAACGAGUUGCGAGUCGGUGACGGGCGAGCUAAUCUCUUAAAGCCAAUCUCAGUUCGGAUUGUAGGCUGCAACUCGCCUACAUGAAGUCGGAAUCGCUAGUAAUCGCGGAUCAGCACGCCCGCGGUCGAAUACGUUCCGGGCCUU
RNAcentral lists this ribosomal RNA (285 nucleotides) under uncultured Streptococcus sp. RNAcentral describes it as "partial 16S ribosomal RNA". It matches the Rfam family "Bacterial small subunit ribosomal RNA", at positions 1100 to 1382 of the family's 1533-position model. Lineage: Bacteria; Bacillati; Bacillota; Bacilli; Lactobacillales; Streptococcaceae. The record is from RNAcentral.